Molecule: long non-coding RNA, 267 nt
Organism: Oncorhynchus kisutch (coho salmon)
Lineage: Eukaryota; Metazoa; Chordata; Actinopteri; Salmoniformes; Salmonidae
Exons: 3
Source: RefSeq, a predicted model, not a curated record
CUGUAAUUGGGAGUCUCAUAGGGCUGCACACAACUGGCCGAGAUACAUACUUUACACUUUCAGUGUUCAUGACACAACGCUCAGCCACCCCUGGUCCCUUUGACUACUCUAUGAUCCACCAAAUAACAGCAGAUUGACAUGGACAAACAUUUGCAAGGAGGGAAAGCAUUUGGAUUCCUCAAGUCUCAGCAAGAUGUGAAACUGAACUCCAUCAAUGAGGUCUGUUGUUCAUCUGUCUAUAAAUGUUAUUAUGGUAGUAUUAUCUAG